This 468-nucleotide ribosomal RNA is filed under the name uncultured bacterium. Its description in RNAcentral is "partial 16S ribosomal RNA". It matches the Rfam family "Bacterial small subunit ribosomal RNA", at positions 28 to 507 of the family's 1533-position model. The record is from RNAcentral.
GACGAACGCUGGCGGCGUGCUUAACACAUGCAAGUCGAACGGAAAGGCCCUGCUUUUGUGGGGUGCUCGAUUGGCGAACGGGUGAGUAACACGUGAGUAACCUGCCCUUGACUUUGGGAUAACUUCAGGAAACUGGGGCUAAUACCGGAUAGGAUCUCCUGCUGCAUGGUGGGGGUUGGUAAGUUUCGGCGGUUGGGGCUGGACUCGCGGCUUAUCAGCUUGUUGGUUGGGUAGUGGCUUACCAAGGCUCUGACGGGUAGCCGGCCUGAGCGGGUGACCGGGCACAAUGGGACUGAGAUACGGCCCAGACUCCUACGGGAGGCAGCAGUGGGGAAUAUUGCACAAGGGGCGGGAGCCUGAUGCAGCAACGCCGCGUGCGGGAUGACGGCCUUCGGGUUGUAAACCGCUUUCGCCUGUGACGAAGCGUGAGUGACGGUAAUGGGUAAAGAAGCACCGGCUAACUACGUG